RNAcentral lists this ribosomal RNA (495 nucleotides) under uncultured bacterium. RNAcentral describes it as "SSU rRNA". It matches the Rfam family "Bacterial small subunit ribosomal RNA", at positions 26 to 521 of the family's 1533-position model. The record is from RNAcentral.
AGGACGAACGCUGGCGGCGUGCUUAACACAUGCAAGUGGAGCGACGAACCAGGGCUUGCCCUGGGGCAGAGCCGCGAACGGGUGAGUAACACGUGGGUUACCUGCCUCGAUGACCGGGACAACCCGAGGAAACUCGGGCUAAUACCGGAUGUGCCCGCAAGGGGAAAGGAAGCUUCGGCCUCCGCAUCGAGAUGGGCCCGCGGCCCAUUAGCUUGUUGGUGAGGUAACGGCUCACCAAGGCUUCGAUGGGUAGCUGGUCUGAGAGGACGAUCAGCCACACUGGGACUGAGACACGGCCCAGACUCCUACGGGAGGCAGCAGUGGGGAAUCUUGCGCAAUGCGCGAAAGCGUGACGCAGCAACGCCGCGUGGGGGAAGAAGGCUUUCGGGUUGUAAACCCCUUUCAGUUGGGACGAAGCUUCUCCGGUAAAUAGCCGGACGGAGUGACGGUACCUUCACAAGAAGCACCGGCUAACUACGCGCCAGCAGCCGCGGU